AAUGGGUCAGCGACUUAUAUUCUGUAGCAAGGUUAACCGAAUAGGGGAGCCGAAGGGAAACCGAGUCUUAACUGGGCGUUAAGUUGCAGGGUAUAGACCCGAAACCCGGUGAUCUAGCCAUGGGCAGGUUGAAGGUUGGGUAACACUAACUGGAGGACCGAACCGACUAAUGUUGAAAAAUUAGCGGAUGACUUGUGGCUGGGGGUGAAAGGCCAAUCAAACCGGGAGAUAGCUGGUUCUCCCCGAAAGCUAUUUAGGUAGCGCCUCGUGAAUUCAUCUCCGGGGGUAGAGCACUGUUUCGGCAAGGGGGUCAUCCCGACUUACCAACCCGAUGCAAACUGCGAAUACCGGAGAAUGUUAUCACGGGAGACACACGGCGGGUGCUAACGUCCGUCGUGAAGAGGGAAACAACCCAGACCGCCAGCUAAGGUCCCAAAGUCAUGGUUAAGUGGGAAACGAUGUGGGAAGGCCCAGACAGCCAGGAUGUUGGCUUAGAAGCAGCCAUCAUUUAAAGAAAGCGUAAUAGCUCACUGGUCGAGUCGGCCUGCGCGGAAGAUGUAACGGGGCUAAACCAUGCACCGAAGCUGCGGCAGCGAC
RNAcentral lists this ribosomal RNA (597 nucleotides) under Escherichia coli. RNAcentral's name for it is "partial 23S ribosomal RNA". It matches the Rfam family "Bacterial large subunit ribosomal RNA", at positions 614 to 1212 of the family's 2925-position model. The record is from RNAcentral. Lineage: Bacteria; Pseudomonadati; Pseudomonadota; Gammaproteobacteria; Enterobacterales; Enterobacteriaceae.